GGUGACUGCGUACCUUUUGUAUAAUGGGUCAGCGACUUAUAUUCUGUAGCAAGGUUAACCGUAUAGGGGAGCCGAAGGGAAACCGAGUCUUAACUGGGCGUUAAGUUGCAGGGUAUAGACCCGAAACCCGGUGAUCUAGCCAUGGGCAGGUUGAAGGUUGGGUAACACUAACUGGAGGACCGAACCGACUAAUGUUGAAAAAUUAGCGGAUGACCUGUGGCUGGGGGUGAAAGGCCAAUCAAACCGGGAGAUAGCUGGUUCUCCCCGAAAGCUAUUUAGGUAGCGCCUCGUGAACUCAUCUUCGGGGGUAGAGCACUGUUUCGGCUAGGGGGCCAUCCCGGCUUACCAACCCGAUGCAAACUACGAAUACCGAAGAAUGUUAUCACGGGAGACACACGGCGGGUGCUAACGUCCGUCGUGAAGAGGGAAACAACCCAGACCGCCAGCUAAGGUCCCAAAGUCAUGGUUAAGUGGGAAACGAUGUGGGAAGGCACAGACAGCCAGGAUGUUGGCUUAGAAGCAGCCAUCAUUUAAAGAAAGCGUAAUAGCUCACUGGUCGAGUCGGCCUGCGCGGAAGAUGUAACGGGGCUAAACCAUGCACCGAAGCUGCGGCAGCGACGCUUAGGCGUUGUUGGGUAGGGGAGCGUUCUGUAAGCCGUUGAAGGUGUGCUGUGAGGCAUGCUGGAGGUAUCAGAAGUGCGAAUGCUGACAUAAGUAACGAUAAAGCGGGUGAAAAGCCCGCUCGCCGGAAGAC
Molecule: ribosomal RNA, 754 nt
Filed under: Enterobacter hormaechei
Lineage: Bacteria; Pseudomonadati; Pseudomonadota; Gammaproteobacteria; Enterobacterales; Enterobacteriaceae
Description: partial 23S ribosomal RNA
Rfam family: Bacterial large subunit ribosomal RNA
Source: RNAcentral